RNAcentral lists this ribosomal RNA (497 nucleotides) under uncultured bacterium. RNAcentral's name for it is "partial 16S ribosomal RNA". It matches the Rfam family "Bacterial small subunit ribosomal RNA", at positions 28 to 507 of the family's 1533-position model. The record is from RNAcentral.
GAUGAACGCUGGCGGCGUGCCUAAUACAUGCAAGUCGAGCGAACAGACGAGGAGCUUGCUCCUCUGACGUUAGCGGCGGACGGGUGGGUAACACGUGGAUAACCUACCUAUAAGACUGGGAUAACUUCGGGAAACCGGAGCUAAUACCGGAUAAUAUAUUGAACCGCAUGGUUCAAUAGUGAAAGACGGUUUUGCUGUCACUUAUAGAUGGAUCCGCGCCGCAUUAGCUAGUUGGUAAGGUAACGGCUUACCAAGGCAACGAUGCGUAGCCGACCUGAGAGGGUGAUCGGCCACACUGGAACUGAGACACGGUCUAGACUCCUACGGGAGGCAGCAGUAGGGAAUCUUCCGCAAUGGGCGAAAGCCUGACGGAGCAACGCCGCGUGAGUGAUGAAGGUCUUCGGAUCGUAAAACUCUGUUAUUAGGGAAGAACAAAUGUGUAAGUAACUAUGCACGUCUUGACGGUACCUAAUCAGAAAGCCACGGCUAACUACGUG